Molecule: long non-coding RNA, 1896 nt
Organism: Schistocerca cancellata (South American locust)
Lineage: Eukaryota; Metazoa; Arthropoda; Insecta; Orthoptera; Acrididae
Exons: 3
Source: RefSeq, a predicted model, not a curated record
AAACAGAAGGCGUAUUAUGUAGACAGCAGUUCAGUUACUUUUCAUUUUUAGUGUAUACUUUCAAUCAGUUGUUGUUAACAAUCAGUUUUUGAUGUUAUACAAUAAUUUUUAAAUCAACACACUGCCAAUUGUCUGUAUUGUUGUUUAUUUAGUUAAGACUCAAGUUUCGGCUUUUUUUCCAAAUUUCAAGCUACUGAGUUUAUCAUUAACAUAUAUUGCAGGACAUCAGGCCAAUUUUGAGCUUCAUAUCCUGCAAUGUACGAGCAUGUUAAUAACAUAAACUCAAUUACUUGAGAGUGGCACAAAUUUUCACUGUCACCAUUAUCGUAAACAGCCUAAGGUAGUCCACAUUCCUAACUGCAAGCGCAUUUCAUCAGAAAUUAUCGUGUUCACGAAGUGUUUCAAUUUGCGAAUGACCACUGAGUUGAGACGGGCAUUCGUAUGGAAAAAGGAAAAAAAAAAUUACGCUUACAUAGGCGGCGGCACCAGGAACUGAGAAAACCGCGCAACAGAUGUCAGAUCGUUCUGCUGUUUUACAGCCCAAAAAUGUGAUUAAAACCUCAGAAAUGGAGCUUCCCACGACUGUAAGAAGUUUGGUUGAAGAUUUCUGCCAAAUGCCAAAGCUCUAAAACAAGUGUCUCUGAUUCCACAUCCAUAAUGUUCUUGCAGUUCGUGAGUGGAUGUGUUUCCCAAAUCCGUUCCAUCCUCACUGUGGCGUUAAGAUUUUUCUUAGCUUUGUUCAUUCCGGUAACGUGGCGCGUAACAAAAGUACCUCAAUACUCAAAACUACGAGGAACGUUCAGCAAGUAAUGAAACACUUUUUUUCUGAAACCAUGGACCGCAAUGUGAUGCUAAAGUUCACUUGAGGUAAUACGAAAUAAUCGUAAGAAAGAAAAGAAAUAGCUCGCAAAAUCAUUAUAGACACGGAAACAGUUGAAAAAGUCUUCCAGACCAUAUAAUACUGGUUUCGUACGUGUUACCAUACGUAUCGCUCAAACAGAACUUCCAGCCAUCUGGCGACCAUCUAGGGAAACGGGGCAAAUAGUUCCUCACGCAGCCGCUGUUGAGCGCUGCAUGUAUGUGCGUUUUACACCUGAUGUGAAAAGAAGCUGGAAAUUAAAUCAUAAGCGAGACAUCGCUUUAUCAACUUCUCAUUGUAGCAGUAAUCUUAAUUUUAAUUGUUUUUCGGGUAAUUGAUUUUAUUACUGACGCCAAUCAAACUGUCAGUGACAGGACGUUCUCACUUUGUGUUUUAUCACAUCGAAGUAAUAUUAACCAGAGUGCGACUUUGAAUUUAUUUUCAGCACAAGAUUAAGACCACCAAAAGCAGCAACAUUUUUAUCAAUUUUUGACGGCAUUGCUGGUAAACCAGCAAUGCUCAUAUAUCAGUAAAAAUUGUACCUCAGGAAGUGAUAAUCUGAACUGCGAUUUUCCGAUGUCAGUGAAGUGCGAAUGCUAACGUUCAGUAUCUGAUAUUCUUAAUCGUGAUUUGUCGCAGGCAGCACCACCUAUAGAGGAUCCAGGUCGUGUAUCCCUCCGCACUCUACCACUGCGAUUUCUGUGACUUACCACCGUAUGAAAAAGGUAAAUCUGUCCACACAGAAAAUUGCAUCUCAACAAAACUGUCAUUAGUACCCGAACUUCAUUUCAGUCACUCAUUGUCAACAGAUCUGCAGAAAUUGCCACCCUGUAGACUGUCUUCGUCAAACAAGAGACGCAGUUCUGACUCUGAUUACUGGUUACUGUACGUAUCUAUCCAUAUCAAGGCUCUUGAGAGAGAAUCGUGAAGAUUCACGACAGCUCUUAGAGGAUUUGCAGCUUAAAAGUGCCAUAAUUAUGAAAUAAGUGUGCAAAAUGAGUGAGUGAACUGUGUUGUAUUGAAGUUGUUAUGCGAUU